Non-coding RNA from Anas platyrhynchos (mallard), 1869 nucleotides. The record is from RefSeq and is a predicted model, not a curated record. Lineage: Eukaryota; Metazoa; Chordata; Aves; Anseriformes; Anatidae.
GUUUCAACCCAUUUAAUUUCUAAGGGGGUUGUGACUUUGUGAUCUUGGCAGCACAGAGAAGCUGCCGAUCAGCGACGUUUCCCUUGACAACGUGGGAGCGUAGUGACUCCUCCUGAGAUAAACAGAAAGGAUUAAUCUCGACAAAGCGACUCUCUGAGAGGCUGGGAACCACAGAGGAGGAAGAGGGGAGUAAUACAAUUAUUUUUGUGCUUUAUGAAUAAUUUGUAGCCGGAAUAAGUAAAAUUACACACAGCAAGCAGCACUCGCAGUACAUUUUCCUCUCUGCCCCCGAGGGAGUUAAACUGUAAAUGCAGUGAAAAAAAGCAGUAAGAGUAAAAUUAGUUUAUAGAGAGUUGUAUCUCGAAGAACAAUAUGCUCCUGUGUGUCUGCCCCUUCUCACGGGAUAUGGCCCAUCGACUGGAGAUCGCAGAUGUCCUCCUGUUGGUAUUUGUGGUUUGCAGCACGCCGAAAAUGGGAAUAUUUCAGAUUUGUUAGCUGGUUUUACCGUGAGUAGUAUUUUCCUUGUUGGAAACAGCCUGCCUGAACGAUCCAGCCUUCUCAAGUUUGUGCACCACCUGGUGCAGAAAUGCAGGAAGAAAGAAAGAAAAAAAGCUGAAUGGAUGUGAAAAGUUUAUGAAUAUGCAGAGCUUUGGCACAGAAAAUCAUCUUCCUUCCAGCAGAGCAUUUUCCAUCUCUUUAUUAGUGUGGGAGCUUCCAAGGCCUCGUCUGUAAGGAGCUGCUCCUUUCUGCUUUCCACGGGAUCAUGCAGGAGGGUUGGGGUGUGCAGGGAUCUCCAGAGACCCCCGGCCCAGCCCCUGCUCCAGCAGGGCCACCCAGAGCAGGGUGCCCAGCACCACGGCCAGGCGGUGCUGAAGGUCCCCAAGGAGGACACCCCACCGCCUCGCUGGGCAGCCUGGGCCAGGGCCCCAGCACCCCCAUGUUAAUAUAGUGCUUUGUGAUGUUUGGACGGAGCCUCUUGGGUUCCAGUUUGUGCCCACAGCCUCUUGUCCUGGCACUGGGCAGAGCCUGGCCCUGUCCUCCCAGCACUGGCAGGCCCUGGUGGGAUCCCCCUGGGCCUCCUCUCCUCCAGGCAGAGCAGCCCCAGCUCUCAGCCCUCCUCACAGGAGAGGUGCUCCAGCCUCUUCACCAUCUUCCUAGCCCUUCACUGGACUCCCUUGACUAUGUCCAGGUCUCCCCUGUACCAGGGAGCCCAGGACUGGGCACAGCACUGCGGGAUGGGCCUCACAUUGUGGCCUGUGCCAGGGAGCAGGUUUCCUAGCAGGCAGCGAUGCCCAGCUGCAGCUGGUGCAGGUGAAAGCUGGGGACUGUCGGGUUUGUCAGAAAUACACCUUCAGACACUAUUUGUGUGGGUUUGGAGGUCCCCAGAACCUAACCUGCUGUUUUACUGAAAUGUUUCCACCAGACUUGCCAGGGAUGCAGACACAGGGCAGGAGGGCACAGCGUUACGUGAGAGAGCUUUUGCAUUUGGGUGGACACAUCCUUCUGGCAAGGGAAAACCAUCCAGAGGAGAAAUCAUUCACUGUUCCACCAGAUUACUCAUCUCAGGUUCAGUUUUUAAGUGCUAAACAUAGACUUAAUGCAGCGGAAGACACAAACUGGGUUCUUCUGCAACCUGAGAAGAGGGAGAAGAUACGGCACAAGGCCCUUCAGAAGAAUCAUGGCAGAUGAAAGUGCAAUUCAUACAAGUGGUGCACAUGAAGAUCACGUGGAAGAAAUGAUUCUCAGAAAGACAUGAGUGAAGGCAGAGAUGCUCACAGCUCUCUGAAGAAGGUGCGCCCUAUUGCCCUUGGUAUGCAGUAAUGUGGAGGCUCUUAGCAUGAUUUAAAUAAGAGUGGGCUCACAUCAUAU